UUCCUGGUGUCUUUAUUUUUAUGGAACCACACCAACCCAUCCCGAACUUGGUUGUGAAACAUAAAGAGAGUGAAAAUACUUAAGCCGUGGGGCUUUGGAAAAAUAACUUGAUGCCAGGAA
This 120-nucleotide ribosomal RNA is filed under the name Edaphochlorella mirabilis. Lineage: Eukaryota; Viridiplantae; Chlorophyta; Trebouxiophyceae; Prasiolales; Prasiolaceae. The record is from RNAcentral.